UACAGAGGGUGCAAGCGUUAAUCGGAAUUACUGGGCGUAAAGAGUGCGUAGGCUGAUAAUUAAGUCAGAUGUGAAAUCCCCGGGCUUAACCUGGGAAUUGCGUCUGAUACUGGUUGUCUAGAGUAUGGUAGAGGAUGGCGGAAUUUCCGGUGUAGCGGUGAAAUGCGUAGAUAUCGGAAGGAACACCAGUGGCGAAGGCGGCCAUCUGGGCCAAUACUGACGCUGAGGCACGAAAGCGUGGGGAGCGAACAGG
RNAcentral lists this ribosomal RNA (253 nucleotides) under uncultured bacterium. RNAcentral's name for it is "partial 16S ribosomal RNA". It matches the Rfam family "Bacterial small subunit ribosomal RNA", at positions 524 to 776 of the family's 1533-position model. The record is from RNAcentral.